AUAGCUUGCUAACUCCUGUUUCUAGUGGCGGACGGGUGAGUAACGCGUGAGGAACCUGCCUUUAUCAGGGGGAUAACGCAUCGAAAGAUGUGCUAAUACCGCGUAAGACCACAGCCUCACAUGGGGCAGGGGUCAAAGGAGCAAUCCGGAUAAAGAUGGGCUCGCGUCCGAUUAGCUAGUUGGUGAGAUAACAGCCCACCAAGGCGACGAUCGGUAGCCGACCUGAGAGGGUGAUCGGCCACAUUGGAACUGAGAGACGGUCCAGACUCCUACGGGAGGCAGCAGUGGGGAAUAUUGGGCAAUGGGCGAAAGCCUGACCCAGCAACGCCGCGUGAGGGAAGAAGGGUUUCGGCUCGUAAACCUCUGUCCUAUGGGACGAAGGAAGUGACGGUACCAUAGGAGGAAGCCCCGGCUAACUACGUGCCAGCAGCCGCGGUAAUACGUAGGGGGCGAGCGUUGUCCGGAAUGAUUGGGCGUAAAGGGCGCGUAGGCGGCCUGCUAAGUCUGGAGUGAAAGUCCUGCUUUCAAGGUGGGAAGUGCUUUGGAUACUGGUGGGCUGGAGUGCAGGAGAGGAAAGCGGAAUUACCGGUGUAGCGGUGAAAUGCGUAGAGAUCGGUAGGAACACCAGUGGCGAAGGCGGCUUUCUGGACUGAAACUGACGCUGAGGCGCGAAAGCGUGGGGAGCAAACAGGAUUAGAUACCCUGGUAGUCCACGCGGUAAACGAUGAAUGCUAGGUGUAGGAGGUAUCGACCCCUUCUGUGCCGCAGUAAACACAAUAAGC
RNAcentral lists this ribosomal RNA (782 nucleotides) under human gut metagenome. RNAcentral describes it as "bacterial SSU rRNA". It matches the Rfam family "Bacterial small subunit ribosomal RNA", at positions 71 to 865 of the family's 1533-position model. The record is from RNAcentral.